This 1389-nucleotide long non-coding RNA is filed under the name Olea europaea subsp. europaea. Lineage: Eukaryota; Viridiplantae; Streptophyta; Magnoliopsida; Lamiales; Oleaceae. The record is from RNAcentral.
GUCUAAAUAGAUAACUCAUCCUAAUCUAAUGACCAUUAUUUAAUAAUCUUGAGCCUUGCACUUAUUUAAUACUAAAUUACAGAAAGAAAAAAACGUGAGAGAGAGAGAAAGAAAGAAACAGAGGAGAUAGAGAGAGGAAAAAGACGUGAGAAAGAGAGAAAGAAAGAAACAGAGGAGAGAGGAAGAAAGUAGGAGAGAGAGAGAACAGAAGAGAGGGAAAGAGGGAGGCAGAAGAGAAAACGUAAAGAAGAAAGAAAAAAAAAAUUCCGACACGUUCCAGAUUUGUCUGCAAGAAUUUUCAAUCCUAAAUAGUUUAAGUAUACAAGAAAUUUAUCAAAUAGGUAUGAAUUUAUCUAAAUGCUCAAUGAUUUUGUGUUUUCACUUUUUAAUGUUUUAAGUUGAGUGUUUCAUGUGCUAUUAUGUGAUUCAAAAUAAAGAAAAAUAUUGUGGAAAGUACCAUAGAGUAUUAUUAUGUAAAUCUACAUGAAAACCAGUUAUAGGGCUAAAUUUCCUAAGUGGAGAUUGAGAAUGAUUUGACCUCAGUGAGAAUGAGACGGUCAGGUUUCUAUCCCACUAGAAAGUUAUGGUAUGUGCGUAUUUUACUUACUUUUUAUAUUAAACUGUGAAAAUACUGACAUGGAAUCCAUACUGAGUGUAUUCAUAUACUCAUUCCAUAUUCUAAAUUAUUUUUGCAGAUACUUGGUGGAUCGAAGUUGGAAGUUGAGACUGCUGACAGAGUCCGUGUUGCUGGAUCAAGAAUUUAAGAUUUUCCUUUUCAUAUUUAGUAUUUAGUUAGAAAAUAUUUUUUUAUUCAAAUCAGAAUUUAUUUUUAAAUCAAUGUUGAAUUUUAAAAAAAUAAGCACCGGAUUCAUAGUACAACAAUAAAAUACAUUAACUGAUAUUUUAUGAGACAAUAAAAUAACUUGUUUUUAUUCCGGAAUGUUUUCUUCAAAUUUUUUGUAACAUAAUGUGUCGACUAAUUUUUAUAAUAGUUAAAGUGAUAAAUUGAGUAACCUUCGGAACAUAGGUUUCGGGGCAUUACAACAUGGUAUUAGAGCCCAAUCAAUCUUUCCUGCAGACUUUGUAAAAUCAAAAUUUUAGAUUUCUUUAUAUGUUAAAAUUAAAUAAAUUUUGAUCCACACGACAUCGGGACCGGCAUGAUCAACUUCAAUGGAUGGUCUAAGGUAUGAAUUUUUAUUUUUUAUUUUUUAAUUUUGUAUUUUAGAAUUUAUGUAGAAGAAUGAAGCAAAGAUUUUUAUGUUAUAAAAUAUUUCAUCUUAAUUAGACCAAAAAAAAAAAAAAAACCCCAGUGGAAUCAACAGAGUCGUGGGGAGUAUUGCAUUAGCAUUUACCUGUUACUUUUUCUCGUUAAAGGACCUUACUGCAAAC